Molecule: long non-coding RNA, 657 nt
Filed under: Elaeis guineensis (African oil palm)
Lineage: Eukaryota; Viridiplantae; Streptophyta; Magnoliopsida; Arecales; Arecaceae
Description: long non-coding RNA (EGUI_LNC050845)
Source: RNAcentral
UACAGUUGGUCUAUUAUAAAAUAAAUCACAAAAGCCCCUUUUAUAGGCAUAUAGAGAGGUGGGGUGAAGAGUCCCAAUGAUCCUGGACUCUUACAGGAUUCCACCUCCCUUCACAUUUCUACAUCCCAACACAUACCAAAAAAAUAUGGAACAUCCCUUUCCAUUUUUUUCUAUGAUAAAUCAAUUCUUCAACUGAUCUUCAAUGAAAAAUCUCUUCAAAAUGUCACACGUAUAAGGAAAAAGAAAUUUAUUGGCAUGGAGAGGUUGAUCUGGAUGAGAACAAAUUUUUUUGAUAAGAAAUAUUUUGAAAUCUAAGUUUAGAAUCUUUCUUUUAUCAAAACUAAUUUAGAUUUGGAUGUAAGAUAGAUAAGAAAAAGAAAUCUUUGGUAUAAAAAUAUCUCACACAAAAUAAUUUUGUGUGUGGAGAUAUAUGGUGUGCAAUCUGGGUUGGUGCAGGGAGAAGAGUCCUAUUCCAAUAAGGGCUCCUAAUUUUCUUAUUUGAAUCUAAACCAAAUCAUAUCUGGUUUAGCCCAAAUAAAAUAUAUAAAACUCAAUAUAAUUAUGUUCAUAAAUUAUUAAUCAAAUUUUAAUCAAAUUAAAAAUUAAUUGAACCAAAAUUCUGAUCAAAUCAGGAAUAAUUCUCCCUUAGCGAUUUGG